Molecule: long non-coding RNA, 756 nt
Filed under: Lactuca sativa (garden lettuce)
Lineage: Eukaryota; Viridiplantae; Streptophyta; Magnoliopsida; Asterales; Asteraceae
Description: long non-coding RNA (LSAT_LNC003760)
Source: RNAcentral
AAAGCAUGAAUCACCGUUCAUGAAAAAACAUAUGAAUCAGUGAGAAACUGUUGGACCAUAUUUCAAUUUUAAUUUUUGCAGUUUCUAUCUUCAUGGUCCUUUGCCUCCACCUCCUUUCUCUCAAUCUAUCUUGUAUCAAUUUUUUUAGUCACGUUCUCCCCUACAUCGAUUUUGAAUCUUCUGGUGGUCCUAUUACGCACAAAACUCGCCUCUGUUUUUAGUGGUUUUCUUUUGCAUAUCGUUUAGGUUUGUUUCAUAUAUUUUAGUUUUAAAUUAGGGUUGGAAAUCGUUUGAUUGAAUGCUUUGUUUGAGGUUUGAUUGGUCGAAUGGAAAUCAUUAGGUUUGGUUGAAUGAAAAUCAAUUACUAAAAUUGCUUUUAAGGUUUUCUUAUUGAUGAUCUUCUUUGACAGAUUUGGUUGAAAUCAAAAGAUGUUUGACUAAUUUGGUUGUAAUCGGUGUUGAUUUGCAAUUGGCUUUGAAAUGUUUUUCAUCCAGCCACACCAUAAUUCUCCAAUCUGAACAGGGAGAAAUCGAGAUAGAAGGAUCAACACAAAGAAAUUGCAUUUCAUCCUUGAUGAAUUCUUUCAAAUAUUUGAGAACUAGUUAAUAAAUUUCAAUGCUUUGAGUUUUAUAUUUUCAAUGGGGUUUUUGAUGUGUGUUUAGGUUACCAGUGGUAGAUGAGAAAGGAGAUGGUUAAUGUUUGGAAGAGAGGGUGAUGAUGAUGGUGUCUCGUAAGGACUAAAGAUAGUAAGGAGA